Molecule: ribosomal RNA, 464 nt
Filed under: uncultured bacterium
Lineage: Bacteria
Description: partial 16S ribosomal RNA
Rfam family: Bacterial small subunit ribosomal RNA
Source: RNAcentral
CCUACGGGAGGCAGCAGUGGGGAAUAUUGCGCAAUGGACGAAAGUCUGACGCAGCGACGCCGCGUGAGGGAUGAAGGUUUUCGGAUCGUAAACCUCUGUCAGGAGGGAAGAAAGCGCAUGGCGCCAAUCAGCCAUGCGUUGACGGUACCUCCAAAGGAAGCGCCGGCUACUACGUGCCAGCAGCCGCGGUCAUAAGGAGGGCGCGUGCGUUAAUCGGACUUACUGGGGGGAAAGGGCGCGUAGGCUGUUUAGUAAGGUGGGGGUGAAAACCCAGGGCUCAACCGUGGAACAGGCCGUGAUACUGCGAAACUUGAAGCCGGGAGAGGGUGGCGGAAUUCCAGGUGUAGGAGUGAAAUCCGUAGAUAUCUGGAGGAACAUCAGUGGCGAAGGCGGCCACCUGGACCGGUAUUGACGCUGAGGCGCGAAAGCGUGGGGAGCAAACAGGAUUAGAUACCCUAGUAGUC